RNAcentral lists this long non-coding RNA (680 nucleotides) under Parus major (Great Tit). Its description in RNAcentral is "lncRNA (ENSPMJG00000003582.1)". Lineage: Eukaryota; Metazoa; Chordata; Aves; Passeriformes; Paridae. The record is from RNAcentral.
CCAGAAAGUAAGAAAGGAGGAGAAUUUUAGAAAAUGUAUUCCCAACCUAAACAGCCUGGCUGCAGGAGAAAGGAGAUAAUCUCUGGGGGAUGGCAUGUUGAGCUUGUGUUGCUUCGCUGCUCAUCUUUAGUCUGGUCAAUACAUCUUGUUACAUCCACCUGCUCUGUUCUAAGUCUUCUUCAGCAACAUGGUUCAUGCCAUCCAUGGGGUUGAGUAUCCUGGUCUCAGGAACCCAAAAUGCACUGAAGGAGCAAAACUGCAACCCACCCAAUAUAAUUCCUGUAAACUCAAUGUGCCAAGGUUUCCAACAAGCACCAUCUCUGGUAACCACAGUCAUUCCCAUGCCAGGCCUUACAGAAACUGGUCAGAAUGGUUUUGGAGAUCUGGACAGCCCCUGAUCUUUCUGAGGAAGGAAAAAGCAGCUCAGCUGAGCAUUCUGGGUGCUGAGCUGCAUCCUCUUUGGUCUCCUACAAACCCAAUCACUGCCUCCCCCAACCCUCAAGUCCCAUUUUGUGUCUCUUCUACUUCAAGAAUCGAAUCCCAUUUAGAAUGUGGCUGCUUUAACUCUAUCUUCAUUUACGAAAUGUAAUAUAUGUAUUUUAUAUCUGUGAAAAUCCCCUAUUACAGUAUUGGGAAUGUUCCUUUGAUAUACAUGAUUUCAAAAUAAAUGUUGUUAGGAG